GCGAGUUGGUGAAAAAGUGGGGCGAUUAGGUGUGGGGCGACUUGCCAGUGGGGCGACUUGUCCUGCUUCCGUGCAAGAGAUAUGACUCUCUCUUAACACGGGUCAGCCAAUUUUCGUCCCCUUCCAACGGACUAUCAUCGUUACUUUAGUUUAUUGCUUUUGGUUGGUUUUUUUCUGUCGGGCAAGAAUGUAAAAAAUACAAAAUCAAAUUUACAGAACCAAAAUCUUACAUCAUCCAGUGAAAAGGUACUUUACACAGUAGAAUAAAAUGCUUCAUUGAGCGCUUAUCAAACCCUGACAAUUGGGGCAAUAUUGGACACAAUAUUCCAGCUUGAUACUGUCUGAAUUGGGAUUGUGAUUAAAUUUGUUGACAUAAUUAUGAUAUAGCUUUCAGGGCCUUUUGAAGCUACAUGUAACUAUGCUGAAUGGGCUUUGGCUCACUGUUGAAGGCUGUACAGUGACCUUUAGUUGUAAAAACUGUCUUGUGAACAGUUGUCUCAUUGGCAAUCAUACCACAUCUUCUUUUUUAUAUUCUGUACAUGUACAUUUUAAAUUUAUUCUGUACUAUGCACCAAAUACUCAGACUAUUGCCCUGAUCUUUUUUAUGGAACUCUGGUUGUGGCAAACCAACAUUUUUUUCAAUGUGGCCCCACAUCAAGGAUAUGAUAUAGACCCAGAAAGAAGUCUGUAACAUGUAUAAAUUUUGAGCAAUAACUAUUAAGAAGUCAUAUUUUUUAUUGAUUUAAUAAAAUCUACCAACCCAACACGCAUCGUUUUAUAAGUUGUAUUUCGUCACAUUUCAUUAUCUUAUGACACAAAAAAAAUACAUUGCAUCCUGGACUCAUCAAAAUCUUUUGGGACUCACCAUUUCUAAAAGUGAUGAGUCCCAGGACUCACCAUGAAAAAUUCCUAGUGAGAACCCUGACUCUUAUAACAAAACCUUUAACAUCAUGUGCCGCAAUGUGGAUAUAUCCAAAAUCAGUGAAAAUUUGGUGUCAGAAUGAGGCCACACUUAGAAAUAUUUUGGUUUGCCAAAACCCUUAGUACCCAAUCUAUGCAUCGAGAAAGUGGGUAUAUUUGUUGCUACAAUGUAGGUAGGCUAUUUCUUUUCUUUUUCUUUUGGCUAUGAGAAAUUUAAGUAUCAAUGUUUAUAAGUCUUCAUGUCUAUCUGAAUAAAAAUAAAUAUUUUCACAUUAGGACAAUAAAAGAUUUUUAAGUAGGUAGUAUUUUCAAGGAAGGUACAUGUAGCAUUAGGGC
This 1257-nucleotide long non-coding RNA is filed under the name Mytilus galloprovincialis (Mediterranean mussel). Lineage: Eukaryota; Metazoa; Mollusca; Bivalvia; Mytilida; Mytilidae. The record is from RNAcentral.